Molecule: ribosomal RNA, 468 nt
Filed under: uncultured bacterium
Lineage: Bacteria
Description: partial 16S ribosomal RNA
Rfam family: Bacterial small subunit ribosomal RNA
Source: RNAcentral
GACGAACGCUGGCGGCGUGCUUAACACAUGCAAGUCGAACGGAAAGGCCCUGCUUUUGUGGGGUGCUCGAGUGGCGAACGGGGGAGUAACACGUGAGUAACCUGCCCUUGACUUUGGGAUAACUUCAGGAAACUGGGGCUAAUACCGGAUAGGAGCUCCUGCUGCAUGGUGGGGGUUGGAAAGUUUCGGCGGUCGGGGAUGGACUCGCGGCUUAUCAGCUUGUUGGUGGGGUAGUGGCUUACCAAGGCUUUGACGGGUAGCCCGCCUGUGAGGGUGACCGGCCACACUGGGACUGUGAGACGCCGCAGACACCUACGGGAGACAGCAGUGGGGAGAAUAGCGCACUGGGCGGAAGACUGUUGCAGCACCGCCGCGUGCGGGAGGACGGCCUUCUGGUAGUAUAACGCGUUCGCCGGAGACGAAGCGUGAGUGACGGUACUGGGUAAAGAAGCACCGGCUAACUACGUG